GUGUCAGCAGCCGCGGUAAAACGUAGGAGCCAAGCGUUAUCCGAAUUUACUGGGUGUAAAGCGCAUGCAGGCGGCUCGGUAAGUUGGGUGUGAAAUCUUCUGGCUCAACUAGGAGAGGACGCUCAAGACUGUCGAGCUAGAGAGUGGCAGAGGGAGGUGGAAUUCCCGGUGUAGUGGUGAAAUGCGUAGAUAUCGGGAGGAACACCAGUGGCGAAAGCGGCCUCCUGGGCCAUUUCUGACGCUCAGAUGCGAAAGCUAGGGGAGCGAACGGGAUUAGAAACCCCCGUAGUCC
This 292-nucleotide ribosomal RNA is filed under the name uncultured bacterium. RNAcentral describes it as "partial 16S ribosomal RNA". It matches the Rfam family "Bacterial small subunit ribosomal RNA", at positions 505 to 796 of the family's 1533-position model. The record is from RNAcentral.